RNAcentral lists this transfer RNA (85 nucleotides) under Felis catus (domestic cat). It matches the Rfam family "tRNA". From Rfam's summary of the family: Transfer RNA (tRNA) molecules are approximately 80 nucleotides in length. Their secondary structure includes four short double-helical elements and three loops (D, anti-codon, and T loops). The record is from Rfam by way of RNAcentral. Lineage: Eukaryota; Metazoa; Chordata; Mammalia; Carnivora; Felidae.
GCCUGGGUGGCUCAGUGGGUUAAGCAGCCGAUUUCGGCUCAGGUCAUGAUCUCGUGGUCCGUGGGUUCGAGCCCCGCCUCGGGCU